RNAcentral lists this long non-coding RNA (35318 nucleotides) under Vitis vinifera (wine grape). RNAcentral describes it as "long non-coding RNA (VVIN_LNC000899)". Lineage: Eukaryota; Viridiplantae; Streptophyta; Magnoliopsida; Vitales; Vitaceae. The record is from RNAcentral.
GAAUCUUUUCUGGAAUCAGUUGUCAGGAGAGAUACCAGCAAAUAUAAGCCUCAUUCCUACACUGGAAACCUUCAAAGUUUUUAGCAAUCAAUUGAGUGGAGUUUUACCUCCAACAUUUGGCCUUCAUUCGGAGCUCAAACUCUUUGAGGUUUCCGAGAAUAAACUAAGCAGGGAAUUACCUCAACAUUUAUGCGCUAAGGGGGCUUUGCUUGGAGUGGUCGCUUCCAACAACAAUCUCAGCGGGGAAGUGCCCAUGUCCCUCGGGAAUUGCACAAGUUUGCUCACCAUUCAGCUUUCCAACAAUUGUUUUUCAGGCGGGAUUCCUUCCGGCAUUUGGACAUCCCCGGACAUGGUAUCAGUGAUGUUAGAUGGAAACUCAUUCUCAAGGACACUUCCAAGUAAAUUGGCAAGGAAUUGUCUAGAGUGGAGAUCACUAACAGCAAGUUUUAUGGUCCAAUUCCUGCUGAAAUCUCUUCCUGGAUGAACAUCUCUGUGCUCAAUGCCAGCAACAAUAUGUUGUCUGGAAAAAUUCCAGUGGAAUUGACCAGUCUUUGGAACACCACUGUUCUGUUGCUUGAUGGGAAUCAAUUCUCGGGUGAACUUCCAUCCCAGAUCAUCUCAUGGAAGUCGCUCAAUAAGUUAAAUCUCUCAAGAAACAAACUUUCUAGCCUAAUUCCCAAGGCAUUAGAUUCUUUAACUAGCCUUAGUUACCUCGACCUGUCAGAAAACCAGUUCUCAGGUCAAAUUCCUCCUGAACUUGGCCAUUUGAACCUUAUUAUCCUCCAUCUUUCGUCCAACCAACUCUAUGGGAUGGUCGCCAUUGAGUUUCAACAUGAAGCAUAUGAAGACAGUUUCUUGAACAAUCCCAAGUUGUGUGUCAAUGUUCCCUCUCUGAACCUCCCUAGAUGUGAUGCCAAACCUGUCAACUCCGACAAAUUGUCAACCAAAUAUCUCGUUAUGAUCCUAAUUUUUGCUCUAUCUGGUUUCCUAGCUGUUGUUUUCGUCACCCUGUCCGUGGUUCAUGUCUAUCAUAGGAAGAAUCACAGUCAGGAGCAUACAGCUUGGAAAUUUACUCCAUACCAUAAACUAGAUCUCGAUGAAUACAACAUAUUGUCCAGUUUGACAUAAAAUAAUCUGAUCGGAUGUGGUGGGUCAGGGAAAGUAUACCGAAUUGCUAAUAAUCGUUCUGGUGAACUCUUAGCGGUUAAAAUGAUUUGUAAUAACAGGAGAUUGGAUCAAAAGCUUCAGAAACAAUUCGAAACAGAAGUCAAGAUAUUGAGCACCAUACGCCAUGCCAAUAUAGUGAAGUUGUUGUGUUGCAUAUCAAAUGAAACCUCAAGUCUUCUUGUUUACAAGUACAUGGAGAAGCAGAGUUUGGAUAGAUGGCUUCAUGGGAAGAAGCAAAGAACAUCGUCCAUGACAAGUUCAGUUCAUAACUUCGUCUUGGAUUGGCCAACAAGGUUGCAGAUUGCCAUUGGACCUGCAAAAGGCCUAUGCCACAUGCAUGAAUACUGUUCUGUCCCAAUCAUACAUCGAGAUGUGAAGUCCAGCAACAUCUUGCUAGAUGCCGAGUUCAAAGCGAAAAUUGUGGAUUUUGGAUUGGCUAAGACGUUGGUCAAGCAAGGAGAACCCAACACCAUGUCAGGAAUUGUAGGCUCUUACAGGUAUAUUGCCCCUGGUAAGACCAUCAAGGCCCUCCUUUCCACAUGUUUUCAUUUCCAUAAUUUAUCGAUAAUUUGUAUCAUACCAUUCUCGUAUACUUGGAUCAUAGAGUAUGCUUAUACAACAAAGGUGAACAAGAAGAUCGAUGUAUAUAGCUUUGGAGUAGUCUUGCUUGAGCUUGUGACGGGAAGAGAACCCAACAAUGGGGACGAGCACAUGUGCCUUGCAGAAUGGGCAUUGGAUCAGUUUAGAGAAAGGAAAACCAUUGAGGAAGUGGUAGACGAGGAGAUCAAGGAACAAUGUGAUAGAGCACAAGUGGCCACUCUCUUCAAACUAGGCAUUAGGUGCACUAACAAAUUACCAUCCAAUAGGUCCACAAUGAAAGAGGUUUUGAAAAUUCUUCAACAGUGCAGUCCUCAAGAGGGCCAUGGAAGAAAUAAAAAGGACCAUGAAGUUGCACCUCCACUUCAAAAUGGCACUUAUCCCACCACUUACAAGUUGUGAGGAUAAAGCCCUUAAAAACAUGAUAUUAUGUAAUAAAUUUGGAACUCAUUAUUUAUUUAACGAUGUUCUGAUUUCACUUUUAUCUAUUCUUAUUCCAUGUAUUAUACUUUAUGAGCAUUCUUGUCUGCAUCUUUUGCAUUGCACGUAACUUAGGUGCAUUAAAAGUUGCACAGAAGAUCUAGGUCAUGGGUUCCUCGCAAAUAUAUGACUUGUUCACAACCAGUUCAUGGGUCUAGGAAGCCCAUUAGAGGUUGUAAAAAACCACUUCCUAAUUGGAAGAAUGGCUAGUCUUAGCUAUUGGGAUGAGUUUUCCAUGAUAAGUGCAUUAGUGUGUAUGGUUACAUAUUGGACAAGACCUAUGGUGAAUCAUGACUUAAGGUUAUCAAGCAGUCAUGACCUCAUCAAACUGCUUCAUUGUGUUGUCUCUCAACCUUGAGAGAAUAUUGAGCUUGUACUAAAGUUAGCAAUGACUUUGACAUACAGGUGAGAUCGUAAGUUGAUCAUAUAUUCCCUAUGGAUUGAGUCACUGUUGAUGGAAGAUGGUAGCGAUAGGUAUUUUCAAUAAAAACACCAUGAUGUUUCUUGGGAUUAAGACAAUGUGCCCCUUUUGGUGAUCUUAAAGAGGUGUGUUCAUGGAAACUAUGGUCAUAGUAGUUCCUUAAGUAAAAAUCGACAUAGGCUCUUUGAGAGGUAAGACAUGUCAAUUGAAUACACAAUAGGAGGAUUUAUAACUCAAGGAUGGUAGAGGUAGUCUUGAAAGACUAAUAACUUUCACUUUGUUAGACUAUGAAUAUCAGUUCAUGGGAAGACUAAACACAAUAAAUAGCAAGUCACAAACCUGAACAUUUGGUAUCUCAUUGUUAUUUUCAAUAAAAUAACAAUGAGAUGGUAAGUUGAUCAUAUAUACCCUAUGGAUUGGGUCACUGUUGAUGGAAGAUGGUAGCAAUAGGUAUUUUCAAUAAAAGCACCAUAAUAUCUCUUGGGAUUAAGACAUUGUGCCCCCUUGGGUGAUCCUAAAGAAGUGUGUUCAUGGAAACUAUAGUCAUAGUAAUUCCUUAAGUAAAACUCAACAUAAGCUUUUUGAGAGCUAAGACAUGUCAAUUGAAUACACACUAGGAGGAUUUCUAACUCAAGGAUGAUAGAGGUAGCCUUGAAAGACUAAUAACUUUCACUUUGUUAGACUACGAACAUCAGUUCAUGGGGAGACUAAACACAAUAAAUAGCAAGUCACAAGCUCGAGCAUUUGGUAUCUCAUUGUUAUUUACAUAGGAUACCGGAGUUCAAUUGAUUCUUUGUAGUGGGAUGUUGAAUCAACUUUAGAAUUGGAUUUUGAGAGAGUCGGUAUUCCUAUGGGUCCCAAUGGUCCUUACUCUAAGCUUAUAUACUUUGUUGGCAAGGAUUAUAAGAGUCGGAUUAGCUCUAGGUUUACUUUUGUACAUAAGGGCAUUUUGAUAAUUACGCAAGGUUACACAAAGGUAAAUGAACAAGGUUUUUAGAUUGGGUUAAUUGAUUAAUUAGUAGGCCCUGUUUGGUUAAUUAAUCAAUUAGGACUUUCUAUAUUAAGUGACCUAAGCCCUUAGUGGGCUCAAGUCACUUAAACCUAAUAGAAAACCCUAUAAAUACCCCCUUAAGGGUUAGAGUUUAUAUAGUUUUUCUAAAAAGCCAUCUUCUAUCUCUAAAGAGAAAGAGAAAGAGUCAUAGCAUCCACCCUCCCUUCUAUCUCCACUAGAAGUGUGUCGAUCAAGGUUCAAGUCAUUGGGAGGAAAACUUUGAAUUUACGAGACUUCUGCGAUUUCGUUCUUCAUUUUCACAAUGUGGAUUUGAUUCGAGAACAUCCGAAUUUGAGGUAUGGUUUUCAUUAGCACUUUUUGAAUCCCUUUAAAGUUUAAAAAUGUUAUUUUUCCGUUGUGCAUAGGAUUAAUUUAGAAAAUGCUUAGAAUAGUUAUGCAAGUUCCUAACCUGAUCUGAGCUUAGGAAAUGGAGAGAACCUAGUUUUUUCCCUUAAUGUUUGUGCUCCAAAGUGUUGAGAUAGUUUAGAGGGUGACAUGAUGAUUGACAUAAUACCUUAUGUGGAGAACCUAGUGAAUCCCUUCUCCAAGACAUUGAUAGGGAGAGUCUUUGUUAGUCACAUGGAUAGCAUAGGUUUUAAAUGAGUAUUUGGCAUGCUUUAAAGGCAUGAUGCUUUGAGGGCUAAUGGGAGAAUGUUAGGAUAAAGCCCUUAAAAGCAUGACAUGAUGUAAAAAAUUUGGAAUUCAUUAUUUAUUUAAUGAUGUUCUAGUUUCACUUUUAUCAAUCCUUAUUCCAUGUAUUAUACUUUAUGAGCAUUCUUAUUUGCAUUUUUUGCAUUGUACAUGACUUAAGUGCAUUAGGAGUUACAUAGAAGAUCUAAGUCAUGGGUUUCUUGCAAAUAAAUGACUUGUUCACAACUGAUUCAUGGGUCUAGGCAACCCACUAGAGGUUGUAGUGCAUCAUACCACCUUCUAAUUGGAGGGAUGACUAGUCUUAAUUAUCAGGAUGAGUUUCCCAUGGUGAGUGCAUUACUGUGUAUGGUUACACAUUAGACAAGACCUAUGGUGAGUCAUGACUUAAGGCUAUCAAGUAGUCAUGACCUUACCAACCAACUUCAUUGUGUUAUCUCUCAACCUUAAAAGAAUAUUCAGUUUAUACUAAAGUUAAUAAACUGAAGUUAGCAAUGGCUUUGACAUACGAGUGAGAUCAUAAGCUAAUCAUAUAUUCCCUAUGGAUUGGGUCAUUAUUGAUGGAAGGCGUGAAAGGCAGACGCCCGGGCACGCAAAGCCCGUCUCAACGAACGGGAGGAGAAAAGGCAAGAAGGAACUUUGCGGAAGGCUCUUGGUGAUAAACGCCCCGCAUCCCCUCCACCUGCUGGCGCACUAGAUAAAAAGAAGAAGAAGCAGGUUUUCAACAAGGGAAAAGAAAUAAAACUCUCAUCUCCCCCAAAGGAAGUUGUAAUACCACCUCCAACUUUCGUAAGAGGAAUAACAAUAAGAACGCCAGAUCUCUCCGUUUUGCCCUCUGUUUCAAGCGGCUCCAGACAUAUCGCGUAUCUAAAUGGAUCGGGGCCUUCAGUGCCAGUGCCAGCGGCUAGACGGCUGGCUCUUCUGGCUGAGGAAGCGACUUCAGUGAAUCAGCCCGACUCUCCUUAUCCGGACGCGAAUGUAGCCGGGGCCUCUUGUACUUAAACGUUGCUUCUUAUGGCGCCUUUAACGGAAGAAACAGGGGUUGAAAGUCAGGGUUUGCCUCAUUGCGAACCAAGCUUCCUUGCCCUUGUACCGGUGAAGGGGCCAGCUAUAAGGAGGUCUCAUCCGGCCCGUGAUUUAAAGUCUGGCAUUAGCGGGCGGCUUCAGGACAUUCUUCUGGAAACCAUCGAAGUCAGCUGCUCAUCCGCCCAGGAGGAUCAUCCGGAGGAGAGUGAGACGGAGAUGGCAGAAGAGAACCCAACCGCCCCGGUGCUGGUCCCGGAUGAGGGUUCACCCGAAGAGAUCCAGCCGGCCGUGAAUAAUGGGGCCCUAGAUCCGAGGGAGGAGUCACACCCUACCGCCUCGUCAAGGGGAAGUCUAGUUGAUGAUGCGGCUUGCAUCUCCGCUAGCCCUUUCAAUUAUGCGGAGUUGGGAGAGAUGCUGAAACGGAUUCCACCCGGCUCAGAUGUUGAUGUGCCUUCAGCAAAAAUGUUUGAAGUGGCGGAAAUGGUAUAGUUUUACUUCUUGAUUUUUCUUGCCAUACUGAUGUGUUUGUCACAUGGGUUGUAAUUUUGUACUUCUUGUUUGUGGGUUUUUCUGCAGCUGGUGAGCGGUAUUCGUGGCAUGGCUUAACAACAUGAUCUUUUUUCAGACCUGCUGCGUACUGCCGAUUAUAUGAAGGUCUUCGUCUCCCAUCGCAUAAACAGUAAAGAAGAACUGCGCUUGAGAUUGGAGCAGGCCGAAGCUAGUUUAUCCGCUGCCCGGAGGGCCUCUGAAGAGAGUGUCGAAGCUUUGAAGAAAUCCCAAGAGGACAACGAGGUUCUCCGGGUAGAGCUAGCUGAGCCAAAGAGUCGGGAGGAAUCUACAGACGCCCGUCUGCAUGAGGCGGAGGGUGAGAUGGCCCAGUUGAGGGGAGAAGUGAGGCAACUCCGGACAGAGGUGUCCAUUGAGAAAAAGCAGAGAGAGGACUUGCAGUUGCGUUUAUCAGCGCAAAAAGAAGAGUUCGAGGCUGAGUUUGCUGCGAAAAGGGAGGAACUCGAGACGAACUACCAGAAGUAGGUAGAUGAGAUGUAUAUCUUUGGCUACCGCUGUUGCAUGAAGAAGCAUGGCAUCAAACGGGACGUCCCUUCGAUUCCCCCGGGUGAGGAAGAAAAGUUGCGUCGCAAGCCCUCCCAAUGAGAGUUUUUCUUUUUUUAUCUUUUAUUGCUUUUUUCUUUUUGUAUUUUGUAGUCCGGAGAACCUUUUUUGUAUACAAUUUUCACAAGUAUUAAUAAAACAUACUCAUUCACAUUGUACUUGUAUCUUUCUUUCAUUAGUAAUACUGCUUUAAAUUGGACACAUUCCAUGGUCGGAGCAAUGGGGUUCCAUCUAGCUUUUGUAGAUGAUAGACUCCAUUUUCACUUGUCUUGGAUACUAUAUAGGGGCCUUCCCAAUUGGCUUGAAACUUUCCUGCUCCUGUCUCAACAGUGUUUUCGAAAACCUUCCUAAAGACCAGCAUUCCACUUUUGAAACUUCUGGGCCUUGCUUUGCGAUUGUAGUGAGCGGCUGCCCUUUGUUGAUAGUCUGCCAUCCGGAUGGAUGCGGUUUCUCUUACUUCGUCUGCCCAGUCCAAGUUUCUUCCUAACUUCGCACUUGCAUUAUCCUGACUUCCUGCCUCGGUCCGGAUAGUGGGUAGCCCUAUUUCAGUAAGAAUGACUGCGUCCAUACCGUAUGCGAGGGCGAAGGGAGUGUUUCCUGUCGGACGUCCGGGUGUGGUUCGAUAAGCCCACAGGACGCCGGGUAGCUCCUCUACCCAUUUCCCUUUGGCUUGCUCGAGCCUCUUCUUUAAGGCAGUUAUUAGGGUCUUGUUUGUGGCCUCUGCUUGUCCAUUGCUUUGAGGAUAACGCGGUGUGGAGUAUGCAUUUCGGAUGUUUAGUUCCGAAUAGAAAUCCCGAAAAGUUUUGCUAUCGAAUUGUGGACCGUUGUAGGCUAUAAUGGUUUGGGGGAUUCCAAAGCGGCAGAUGAUGUUCUUCCAUACGAACUUGGUGACAUCUUUGUCUUUGAUGCUAGCGUAUGCUUCUACUUCCACCCAUUUACUGAAGUAAUCCAUGGCGACGAGUAGGAAUUUUUUCUGGGCAGCUGCGGCUGGUAGGGGUCCUACUAUGUCCAUGCCCCACUGCGCGAAAGGCCAGGGACCUGAAAUUGGUUUCCACGUCUCCGACGGCACAUGUGGUAUGGGGACAUGCCUUUGACAUUUGUCACAUUUUUUUACGUAGGCUGCCGCAUCCUUUUUCAUCGUGGGCCAGUAAUACCCUUGCGAAUAGGCCCUGUGCGCCAGAGAUCGACCUCCAGAAUGAUUUCCACAUACUCCCUCGUGCAAUUCAGCUAAUACAUACAGGGCCUCUUAGUGGUUUAGGCACCGGAGAUAGGGACCUGUGAAGGACUGUUUAUACAAAUGCCCCCCAAUCAGGGUGAAACGGGCGGCUUGUAGCUUGUGUGUCUGCUUGGGCUCUUCGAGCAGAGUGCCUGUCUGGAGGUACCUUAUAAUGUCUUCCGUCCACUCUUGGCCGUCUGCUUGGUUUGCCUCAAUGGUAUUGCAAAUGGAAGCUUCUGUGACGGAAGGGUUGACUUGCACAUGUAUAGGCAACAAUAUGGCUUCUUUGAUGGGGAGGGAGGCAGCUAUGCCUGCCAGGGCGUCGACACGUCCAUUUUCAGCUCGUUUAAUUUUUUCGAUCGUCCAUUCGGUGAACCGUUGUAAGGUGUCCCUUACUUUAGUCAGAUACAGUGCCAUGCGCGCAUUCUUAGCUUCGUAUUCCUUUUGGACGUGCCUUACCACGAGUUGAGAAUCACUAUAGACCCGGAGCCUUGAGACGGAUAGAGCCAGGACGAGGUCCAAUCCGAAUAGAAUGGCCUUAUACUCCGCUUCAUUGUUAGAGACGGGAAACCCCAGCCGGAUGGCUUGCUCCAGAUGUUCUCCUGUUGGGGACUAUAGCAGGAGCCCUACUCCGGAUCCUGAUGAUCAGGAGGUUCCAUCGACCCGCAAAGUCCACCACUCUUUUUCACUUGGUUCCUUGUGCUGGGUAGGCUUUUGGGAGUAUUCCAGCACAAAGUCAGCCAUCACUUGACCUUUCAUGGACAACCUGGGUUGGAACUCAAUUCCAUAUUCGCUCAACUCUAUGGCCCAUUGAAGCAUUCUUCUGGUUAGGUCCGGCUUAUGCAAAAUGUUGCAAAGAGGUUGGUCUGUUAGCACGACCACCGGGUGGGCUUGGAAGUAAGGGCGGAGCUUCUAGGCGGCACUUCAAAGAGCUAAGGUCAUUAGCUCCAUCUUUGAAUACCUGGUUUCUACGUCCGUCAACGCUCUGCUGACGUAGUAGAUAGGUUUCUGCUCCUUAGGUGAGGAGCAGCAGAAUAGAACAACGCUAAUUGCUCACUCCGAUACAGCCAAAUACAUAUACAAUUUUUCUUCAGGGAGGGGGUUGCUUAGGAUGGGCGGUUGCAUGAGGCAGUGUUUAAUUUUUUUCAAAAGCGCUCUAACAGCUGUCUGUCCAUCCGCUUGCUCCAUUUUUUCAUAUUGCCAAGAAGAAAGGUCGCAGUUCAUCAAUGAAGCGGGCUAUAAAGCGUCCUAGCGCGACGAGCUUGCCUAUGAGGCGCUAUAAUUCCUUCUUGCUCCUGGGGGGUGGUGUUUCCAUGACUGCCUUGACUUGAUCCGGGCUGACCUCUAUCCCCCUUUGGCUGACCAUAAAUCCUAGGAAUUUGCCAGCACUUACGCCAAAGGCGUAUUUAGAAGGAUUCAACCUCAUGUCAUACUUCUUUAAGAGGUGGAAGACUUCUUGCAAGUGGAGGACAUGUUCCUCUCGGGUUUUGCUUUUAACCACGAUAUCGUCAAUAUAUACCUCUACUGUGCGGCUGACCAGAGGUUUGAAGAUCUUUGUCAUCAGUCUCUAAUAAGUGGCGCCAGCGUUUUUGAGUCCGAACGGCAUGACUUUGUAGCAAUAAAGGUCGUGUGGUGUUAUGAAGGCUGUCUUUUCUUCGUCAGCCAGGGACAUGGGGAUUUGGUGGUAUCCGGAGAAGGCGUCCAAGAAGGAAAGCAUCCCUUGCCCAGUAGUGGAGUCCACAAUUUGAUCUAUCCGUGGCAAAGGGAAACUGUCUUUUGGGCAUGCAUUAUUGAGGUUGGUGUAGUCGACGCACACCCGCCAUUUGCCUUCUUUUUUGGGUACCACCACUACAUUUGCCAACCAGUCCAGGUAAUCCACUUCUCUGAUGAAUCCGACUUCUAACAAAUUGUCAAUCUCAUUCCAGAUAAUUUUUUGUCUGUCCGGGUGAAAACGUCUAACCCUCUGUCAGACGAGUCUUGCUAUGGGCAAGACAUUAAGCUUAUGGGAGACGAUGGAGGGGUGAAUCCCCUUCAUAUCAUAAUGCGCCCAUGCGAAAAUGUCAUGGCUUUGUUGGAGGGCGUUUUGGAUGUUCCGGGUCUCUUCUAGAGUUAGGAGAGAACUGAUAUAUGUAAGGUGAGUAAGUACCUUCUUUCGAAAUUUGGAUCGCCUGCAAGGGAUCCGCUUCCGGGGGAUCUUUGUCUGUCAGACUCAAUAAUUGCUAUUGGUCACGUGCAUGGCUGGACUCAGGGAGGGAUGCAUCCUCCUGGCUGGUCUCUGCUUCUCGUGCUAUCUAGUAGCAUUGGUGAGCAGCUAACUGGCUGCCGUAUAAGUCAAUUUGCCCAUCCUUGGUAAGGAAGCUUACCAUUUGAUGAUAUGUAGAGGGGAUGGCUUUCAUGUAGUGCAGCCAUGUGCGCCCCAAGAUGACAUUGAAGGAUGAUAAGUCUUGUACCACCAAAAAUUGUACGUUGAGAAUGACUAGGUCAGCUUGGACCGGCAGUACAAUGUCUCCCAAUGAAGUAGUUGACGCCCCGUUGAAUCCGGACAAGAUUCGCCCAGGUUUUUCGAGGCCUGUGAGACUGUGCCCCAUGUGGCUAACGACCGAUGCUUGUACAAGAUCGGCCAAGCUGCACGGGUCAAUUAGGAUGCGUCGCACGUCGAAAUCUCCUAUCUCUAGGGACAGGAUGAGGGCGUCGCGGUGCGGCUGUAAUAUCCGGGUGGGGUCUACUGGUAGGAAAAUGAUUGUCCCAUCUAUGGGGCGAGGGCCCCCCCAGUUAUCCUAGGCCGGAUGGAGUUGACACACUCGCGCACCGAUGCUGGUCGCAACAACUUUUGUCUCUUUCGUUUGGAAUCGUACUCCUCGUCGGAUGGGCCUCCGUUAAUAUAGUUUAUAACGGCUUUAGAGGUGGUUGGGGCCCUAGGGGCUCCAGAGUUGUGAUUUCGAGAAGCGUCUUCACCUCUGGCAUCUGAGCGGAGGUAUUGCUUUAAAUGUCCCGCCUUUAUGAGCCUUUCGACCAAAUGAUGGAGACACCUGCACGCCUCCGUUGUGUGACCAUGCUCCUUAUGGAAGACACCUGAACUCUCCUCUGGGAUUCAGCAAUUUAUGAAUGUAUCUUUAGGCCCAUGUAGAUAAAUCCAUGCUUGGUGGUAGUAUGCUUAUUGAUGAUAGUCUAGAGAUGUGGAAAUCAAAUGAUUCUGAUGAACUAAAUUUGAUGCGUGAUGAGAUAGAUGACGUGUUAUCUAAGGAUCACAAAGUUCAUCAAUAGAAACUCGUUUGAUGAUGCGUCAAUCUGAUGGAGAGAAUCCGUUGAUAAAAAAUGAUGAAAUGCCAAUUUGAAGAUAAUGACUGCGAUUCAUCUCCGAAGAUGAAUCUAAUGAGAACGUUCAGGAUUCAGAAAUGGAGAGCUAUAAUGGCAGUGGUGAUUUGCAACAACAUCGAUCUCUGGUGGCAGUGACAGCAAACUCUAAUGGUGGUAAACUACGCCGACAGAGACAAUCUCCAUGAAUUGCGCAACAAACUUCAAUGGCGAUCUCCAGUGGUGGUGAUGAAUUCUCCUACAACAAUGAACUCUCAUUCUCCUGUAGAGAUGAACUCUCAGAUGUCGGUGAAUUAUUUUUAUAUAUUUUUUUAAUAAAUUUUAAAUGAAAUAAAAUAAAUAAAUAAAUUUUAAAUCAAUAAAUUAAUUUUAUAUAUUUUUUUAAACUCAUUUAACUUAUUUUAAAUUUUCAAUUAUAAAAUUAAAUAAUUUGAAAAUAUAUAAAUUUAUAACUAAUUUUAAUUAUAUUUUAUUUUCUUUUAUAAUUUUCAUAUAUAGUAUAACCAAUACCAAUGUUUUCAAAAUCAGACCGCUGCUUGAACCGGAAAAGUUACCGGUUCACGAUUCACGAUUCACGAUUCAUUAAUUGAACUGGUGGUCAAACCGUAGUCAAAUCAAUGACAUCAUAAAUAAUAAUUUUUUUCUUUUUUCUCACUAACUAAUCCCACAUCGGAAAUGGAUAAAAAAUAUGUAGGAAUUGUGGUAUAAAAGGCAAGCUAGAAUCAUUAACUUGCAAGACUAAAAGCUUAUUGGGCUUGAUGACAAACAAGUUGGAUGGGCUCCUCAUGGAGUGAUCCGGUUCUCUUAUGGUAUCAAAACCUUUUUUUUUUUGUUUUAAAAUAAAUAAAUAAAUAAAUUGUUCGGUUCGCUAAGAAUCGCCUGGUUGGGGCGGUUCACUAGCUCAACCACUGGUUUGAUGCCCAAACGGUUUUUUGGGUGGACCAAACUGGUUUUGUUACCGAUCGGACCAACUGGUCCGGUCCAAUUUUUAAAUCAUUAUCAAAUACAAUAAAAUAAUUUUUUUUAACAUUUUUUUUAUUUUUUUAGUACUUCUCAAAAAUCAAACAUAAUCAUAAGACUAAUCAUAUUUUUUAUCAUAAUAUCAUUCGAAGACAAUGCCCCAAGUGAGAAUCCCAAAACUUUUCAAUGUUUUACUAAUAUUAAGAUUUUGAAAAUCUAUACAAUUUAUUUUUCUUUUUCUUUUUUUAAUAUUUGGAUGAUAGUGCAUGAGUAUACAAGAAAGGUCAACGCAAAGAUCAAUGUCUACAAUCUUGAAAUUGCACUUCCAGAGUUGGGCCCUAAAAGAGAACCCAAUAAGGGGAAGGGGCAGCGUAUAAACCUUGUUCAAUGGGCAUGAAAACACCUUGGAGAAGGAAAGUCAUUCCUCUACCGGUUGACUAAUAAUUUGAUGGUAAUGACAGUAGUUCGGAUCAUUAACAUGACUCAUUUCUUCUAAACAUUUGCACUUAGGUAGCUCAAUAACUUUUUUAUGGAAUAGGUCUUCCAACAUGUUAGGCACAUCAGAGUCAGGAAAAUGAUAUUUCUUAUCCUUUAAUUCCUUCAAGGUGAAUCGACGCCUCUCAUUUUCCUAAAUUGGUCUAGUCUCUCUUACUUCCUUCUUUUUAUCUCGUGCUGAGAUUUUGAUGGGCGUUAUAUUUACUGUCAUUGACUUGUGGAUGGGUUUUAUUGAGGCCCGAUCACUUGUUUUCUCAUCAUGUCUCUCUCUUUACCGAUCAACAAUUAAUAAGGUCUUUUUUAGCACCAUGGUUAGCUAUGUUGAGCUUCAUGUCAUGUGCUCAAGUAGUUAACUGUUCAAAAAUGUGAGGUCAUAUCCCUUAGAGGAUGUACAAAACACCCCAAUGCAUUCCUUGUAUGCACAUUUCCAUGGCUGAUACAUCAAAUAAUCUAUCUUUGUAGUCGAAACUUAAAGAACGCCAAUGAUUGACGUAGUUUACGACCGGCUCAUAUUUCCAUUGCUUAGUAUUAGUAAGCUCCAUCAUGCUUACAGUCCGUCGGGUGCUAUAGAAAUGGUUGAGGAAUUUGCAUUCCAUUUGGCUCUAACUAUCGAUACACUUAGGUGUAAGGUCUAUGUACUAAUGAAAGCAUUCCCUCAAAAGGAACGAACAAAUUGUUUAACUAACAAGUCACUAUGUGCACUUGCAUUGUUAGAAGUUUUAACGAAAUGACAUGUUGUUUUGGAUUUCUCUUCCCAUAAAAUGAUUGAAACUUUGGAGGUUGAUAACCUACAAGCAUACAUAGGUUAUCAAUCCUCUUAGUGUAAGGUUUAGAGUACAUAAGUGUACUCUGUGAGGGUCCAUCGUACCGCACUCUAAUGGUGUUAGUUAUUAUGUCUUGAAGUUGCUAGACAGAUAACAACUCCAUCGAGGCAAAUUCCAUCAUUUUUCUUUCGACUUGCACUGUUCUAGAUGCAUGUGGUGCAUCAUCGAGAAGAGAUGCAACAUUCAAAAGGUGGUUAAGUCUUUAACUUGACUCACUUGUAUUUUGUACUUGUGCCUCAACCUUGUUUAUGAGAGAGGCUAUCUGCAUAUCAUUCUCCUCGACUAUCGUAGUGAAUUUGGUAAUGGUGUCAGUCAUCUCUACCAAUUGUUCCUCUAUAGAUGUAGUACCAACUGUCAUUACCGGCAUAGUCAUUGAGAUGAGAAAAAUAAAAUAGUCGAAAUGAUUGGAGUAGUUUUCCUCAUUCGACAUUCCAAUUGGUGAUUCGGAGUGUGAGCUGGUGCUAGAGUUAAUAUUGGUAAUAAAGCAAGGAGACUCAUCCCGAAAGUCCUUUAGUGCUAAAGAGAGUUUUCCCCUACUAUGAGGAUUGUGGCUCUUUGCCCCUAAGGAGGCCAAAGUGAUGAAUGGUUGGUGUUCAUCAUGUGUCCUUACCGAUUUUAGUAGACAAGUAGACCUAUUUAUUUCGUUGAAAGUGAAGAUGUUGAUUUUGAUUUGCUACGAGUCAUGGGACCCAUAGCAGUGUUGUGUGUUGAUUAUGCAAUGAUGAUCUUGUCAUUGUCCUUGUUGACAUGCACAACUUGAGUUCUUUUGGAUAUCAUCAACGUAGUAGAGAUCAAUCUUCUAACAAAAGAUAUGAGAGGCAGAGAGAUCCCAUCAAACAUGCUAGAAAUUUGUAUGCACAAAUUUCAUAAAGGUCCUGCAAAAUUAGCAAAACAAUACGAAAAUAAUGUGAACAAAAUAUUUAUCAAAAUUAAAAAUAUUGUGGUAUAAUAUAAAAAAUAAUACUCUUUACAAAACAAUAUUUUUUUCUCUAAUUUUUUUUGCCUUGAUCACAAUUUGAAAGACGACAAUGUCGUUUUCUUAUUUUGAAGAUUAAUUGAGGGCCACAAGUGACUUAUUCCUAAAUGAACACGUUGAAUGAUGAAGAACGCAUGUAGCAAUUCUAUCAUUUGCCGAACCUAUAGGGAGAUUCGAUGAUUUUUUUUUUUUUUUUUUUUUGUAAAGCCUUUUUUCCCAUACAAAGUUACCUCUAGAUUUUCUUCUUUAGGAUUUUCUUUUCUAGAUUUUUCUAAUUUUUGAGUUUCUCCCAUUUCUUGAAAGAAUUCACCUCUAUUUAUAGGUGAAGGUAGGAAAUUCGAAUUUUGAAUUCCCAAAUUUUAGUUGCUUAAUUCAAGGAAUUUAGUUAACUUUUCUUCUUGAGAAGGUUUCUCAUGAUGAUGAUGAUGAUAAUAAUAAUAAUAAUAAUAAUAAUAAUAUUUUUUUAAUUAUCAUUAUUAUUAUAUUUUCGAUUUUUUUAGGAAACUUAUUCGUAAUAGGAUAUUUAUUUAUUUAUUUAUUUUGAAUAUCAAAUUAGUGGUAAUUAAUCCACUAAAAUUUUUAUGUCUACAUCCUUAUCCACAAGUGUAGAGACAAAUAUGUCGUAAGUAAAUAAACUAUGAAUGACUUCAUUUGAGCUUAAAAUAAUAAAUUAAGCAAAUAAGCAUGUAGUAAAAUUAGAACUUACGACCCUCCUACUAAAUAAAGCUCUAAUAAUAUGUUGGAUAAUUGAUUUUUUUAAAAGCUUAAACUUAAGAUUUGCAUCCCGAUGGAUGUGCAUCAUGUUUUCUAAUAAUAUAUCACAUACUUUUCUAGAUUUUAUGUUAGACUUGUGAUUACUUCUCUAAAUUAAUUUUUCAGCAUAUUGUAUAUAUGCAUUUGUUAGGAUGAAUCAAUUAUCAAUCAAUGCAGAAAUACAAGUACUCCUCAUAGAGCCUCUCUACUUAUUUCCACUACAACAGCUUAGUUGGUUGAACUUAAAAGAAUUCCUAAGUGCUUUCACAAAUGUUUUGAACUUCAAACCUGCACAAAGAUGGAAACCAUAUCAUUGAAAUAAUUAAAACAAAUCAACUGAAAUCAAACUGCUAUUGCCUUGUUUAAAAAUUUAAAGAAAAAAACAAAAAAAAAAUCAUGGGCUUUUACGCAAAACUUAACAGUAGGGUUCCCAAAGUUCAUUAUUCAGAAUACUAACAAGUGUCAUGUAUCAGUUCAACUCGGCACCUUCUUCCAUAAAUAAAUUAUAUUUGCUUUGGAAGAAAACUUGAGUUUUGAACAAAUAUAAUAUAUUUGAAAAAAAAAUCCAUAAAAUGGAUCUUCAAUCAAAAUAAUUCUCAAAAUAGUGUAUUUGUACUUGGGCAUCCAAAUAGUUUGAGAAUAUUUUUUAUGUGAUAAAAUCCUAAUUGAUAACUAUGAUUUUAAUUUAUUUUUUUUAAAUAUAAAACCGCUGUUGGUAAUUAUAGUUUUAACCAUUUUAAAAGAAAAUUCAAAAUCAUAAUUAACAACUAUAGUUUUAUAAGGUGGAUAUGUUAGCUCUUUUCUUAUAAUGUGUGAUCAUAUAUAAUUAUAUUUGUGUAAAUAUUAUUUAAGAGUAUCAAUUGAUAGAUAGGUGAAUCAAUUGAUUGGGCAUUCAAGAGUCUUAUGUAUGGAAGACUCAAAUUAUAAAUGGGGAGUUAGAAAAUUUAAUUUAUAUGAAUGUGGUGUUUAUAACCCCAUCAUUAUGAAAUUUAUUUUGUACAUUAUAUUUAUGAGUAAUAGAGGAAAAUGAAAAACUAUAACCUAUGCAUUUAUAUAAAUGCAUUCAAGUUCAUAACUCACCAUUACCCAUUAAUUUGUACAUAAUAGGUGUAAAUAAUGAGUAUAACUCUCGUAUAAUCUUUUAUAAGAAGACUAAGAGAUGUACAACUUUUUAUAAGUUAAGGUCUCAAGUCACAUUCUCAUUCUUAUGUCAUUUUGUUGUUUUAUUUUUUAACAACAUACACCACAUAAGUGACUCAUCCACUAUAUGAGAGUAGUGAGUUGAAGACUUUGACAAUACAAUUCACAAAAUGAUUCAAUUUCACUUCAAAAAUGAUAUUGAUAUUAUGGAUCAAGGUAAGAAUAUGAUCAUUAUUUUAAUAUUUAUAUUUAUUUUGUUUUAUGCAUUCAAAAUUAUUUUUUUUUAAAUAAUGAUUUCCACAUAAAGUUUAUAAAAGUUUAGUUAACAGGAAACCCAUGUGGAUGAGAUGCACUAAAAUUAUUCUGAGAUGGAAUCUAACCUGUGGAAUUUUUUUUAAAUAAAUUAUUUUUGUUCAAAACUUAGAAAAAAAAACUUGUUGAAAACUAAAUUCAACUAUACACUUUCGUAUUUUUCUUUUUAUAAGAUCAAAUCCACGUUAUCACUUUUCCACUAGAAUCCUCAUGAUUAAUUGUAGAAUUCUUGAGAUGAAAUGAAAUGGUUGUUGAAACUUCAGUUUUCAAUCUUGAUCAAUGUUGUCCCUUCCCUUAGCUGUGCAUUAUUCCAAUGCCAGUUUUUCUCCACAAACUUAGUCCAGAGACAAGAUUAGAUUCCGUGUGGAACCAUUCAUGUGUGGAUCCCGUUGUGAGACUUGACCAUCAAUAUCCUUCUCUCCAUUUGUGGGGUACUGCCCACGUGACCACUGCUUUGGAAAUUUGAGUAACACACCUAAAUUCUCAAAGACCCAAAACUACAGAUUUCUGCUUCAUCUUUCUCCUCAUUCAUGUGCACCUUUUCAAAGUAUUCAGUGGAGAUUGGCCCCAUCAGUCACGUUUUCCAUAAUGCAUGGUUACGUCACCAUCCAUUUGCUAAGUUGUCAUGCCUUUUUUCUACACCAACUCAGAAACCCCACCCGGCUGGUAUGGUUUUCAUUUUUUAUUUAUUUAUUUUUUUUAACCAAUAUAAAUAAGGCAUGAACCCAUCCAUUUUCAUAUCUGUACCUAAUGUUAAUAUUAAGUGAUUCUACUUAAAAAUACUUUUAGUUUAUAUUAUUAUUAUCUGUAAUACUUUUAUUAUUUAGAGAUAAUUACUUAAUAUUUAAAUAUAUAAAUAAGAAAAAAAAUUCAAAAAAACAUCCAUCAAUAUAUAAUAUAACAAAUUAUUGUCUUUAAAACCUAAUUUUUAGCAUAAAAAAAAGGUAUUUUAUCUCACUCAAAGUUACUCCCAAAUCAACUCUUAAGGAUUGUUUGAAAUUGCAAAUUUAACUUUUAUAUUGAUAAAUAAAAGAGGUAAAAGUAAUUGUUAUGUUUGAAAAUUAUAUGUCAAAAAUAUUGUUAUUAAAGAGAAAGAUAAUUUUGAAAUUUUUAGUUAAAUAAAAAUUUUCUAAAAUAUAUAUAUAUAUAUAUAUAUAUAUAUAUAUAUAUAUAUAUAUAUAUAUAUAUAUAUUUAAUGCAUAUGAAUUUCUAUUCACAUCCAAUUAUGAUCUAAUAUUCUUAUAUAAAACCUCAUUCAAUUUAACAUGAGUAUAAUUACUUAUUUUAUUAUUUAUUAAUAUAUAUUAUAAUUAAUUAAUUAAUUUAUUUAUUUUAAAAAAAAAAACUAUGAAUGAUUGAUAUUUCCAUAAAAUCAAAACGUGAUGUAGACUAAUUGGUGCCUAGCGUUGACCCAAAGUCAAGUCUUUUCUCUAGUGUGGCAUUUUACACAUUUAUUUAUGAUUACCAAGACUUGGAAAAGCAACAUUAGGAAUUGGUGUUCCCCAAUUUUUUGUCAUCAGGUUUAAAAGAUAAAAUAGAGGGUAAGACAUGGAUUUAAAUUUUAUAAUCAGAUUAAAAAACCGAAAACAAUAUCUAUAAUCAAACAAUUUCACAUGUGUUUUGAAGUUUUAUUGUUUUAUUUAUUUAUAGAUUGAUUCAACAACCUAAAUUUUAUUAUAUAUAUUUAAUGAUUUAGAUUUUUUAUUUUAUAUGUAUAUUCUCUCUCUUAACAUUUUCUCAAAUUCCAUCAAUUCAUGAGUUUCCAAGAAGUAUCCCCUACUCCACUCCAUGAAACAUAUCUUGAAAAUGAAGUUGUCCCUUAGAAUAAAAUAUCUAUCCUCAAGACUUAAGACCUCAAACCUAAAGCUAAGGAUAGACCUCCAACCACCAUCUGGAGGACAUUAAUUAGUCUUGUUUUCUUAAUUUUUAUUUUCCAACCCCACUUUAACAACCGAAAAGAUUUACUUGUCUUUAUUUAUGAUUUAAAAAUAAAUAAAUUCAACUUUAUAUUAACUUGACUUUCAAAUAUACUAUUUAACCGUUGGUUUUCAUCUUUCCCACCCAUCUUCCUCCCAACUCAUAGAGAAGCGGUAAGGAACUCAAUGUCACCAAAAUGCGGAAACCACCAUUUUUAUUUACCAAAAUUCCAUUCCCCGCUCUAUUUCUCCUCCUCGUCUUCUCCUUAACCUUUCAAGUAAUUUCCCAAAAUCUAGAUGCUGAACGAUCAAUCCUACUAGACGUUAAACAACAACUGGGCAAUCCACCGUCACUCCAAUCGUGGAAUUCCUCAUCCUCGCCCUGUGAUUGGCCGGAAAUUACAUGCAUCGACAAUAUCGUCACUGAAAUUUCACUCAGCUACAAGACCAUCACAAAGAAAAUUCCGGCCAGAAUUUGUGACCUCAAGAACCUAAUCGUACUUGACGUCUCCUACAAUUACAUUCCAGGCGAGUUCCCGGAUAUUCUCAAUUGCUCUAAGCUCGAAUAUCUCCUCUUGUUGCAAAACUCCUUCGUGGGUCCAAUUCCAGCUGAUAUUGAUCGACUUUCACGUCUCCGAUACCUAGACCUCACCGCAAACAACUUCUCUGGAGAUAUUCCCGUAGCAAUUGGGCGGCUACGGGAGCUGUUCUACUUGUUUCUGGUUCAAAAUGAGUUCAACGGCACCUGGCCAACGGAGAUUGGUAAUUUGUCAAAUCUUGAACAAUUGGCCAUGGCCUAUAAUGACAAAUUCCGGCCUUCAGCCCUUCCAAAGGAGUUUGGCGCAUUGAAGAAGCUGAAGUAUCUGUGGAUGACGAAGGCAAAUUUGAUGGGCGAAAUACCGGAGAGCUUCAACAAUCUAUCGAGUCUGGAACUCUUGGACCUCUCAAACAACAAAUUGGAAGGUACGAUCCCGGGAGGCAUGCUUACAUUGAAGAAUUUGAACUAUUUUCUUUUAUUCAUUAAUAGAUUGUCCGGCCACAUUCCUUCAUCCAUAGAAGCUCUCAACUUGAAAGAAAUUGAUCUUUCCGACAACCAUUUGACGGGGUCCAUACCAGCGGGUUUCGGGAAGCUACAAAAUUUGACGGGUUUGAAUCUUUUCUGGAAUCAGUUGUCAGGAGAGAUACCAGCAAAUAUAAGCCUCAUUCCUACACUUGAAACUUUCAAAGUUUUUAGCAAUCAAUUGAGUGGAGUUUUACCUCCAGCAUUUGGCCUUCAUUCGGAGCUCAAACUCUUUGAGGUUUCCGAGAAUAAACUAAGCGGGGAAUUACCUCAACAUUUAUGCGCUAGGGGGACUUUGCUUGGAGUGGUCGCUUCCAACAACAAUCUCAGCGGGGAAGUGCCCACGUCCCUCGGGAAUUGCACAAGUUUGCUCACCAUUCAACUUUCCAACAAUCGUUUUUCAGGCGGGAUUCCUUCCGGCAUCUGGACAUCCCCGGACAUGGUAUCGGUGAUGUUAGAUGGAAAUUCAUUCUCAGGGACACUUCCAAGUAAAUUGGCAAGGAAUUUGUCUAGAGUGGAGAUCGCUAACAACAAGUUUUAUGGUCCAAUUCCUGCUGAAAUCUCUUCCUGGAUGAACAUCUCUGUGCUCAAUGCCAGCAACAAUAUGUUGUCUGGAAAAAUUCCAGUGGAAUUGACCAGUCUUUGGAACAUCACUGUUCUGUUGCUUGAUGGGAAUCAAUUCUCGGGUGAACUUCCAUCCCAGAUCAUCUCAUGGAAGUCGCUCAAUAAGUUAAAUCUCUCAAGAAACAAACUUUCUGGCCUAAUUCCCAAGGCAUUAGGUUCUUUAACUAGCCUUAGUUACCUCGACCUGUCAGAAAACCAGUUCUCAGGUCAAAUUCCUCCUGAACUUGGCCAUUUGAACCUUAUUAUCCUCCAUCUUUCGUCCAACCAACUGUCUGGGAUGGUCCCCAUUGAGUUUCAACAUGAAGCAUAUGAAGACAGUUUCUUGAACAAUCCCAAGUUGUGUGUCAAUGUUCCCACUUUGAACCUCCCUAGAUGUGAUGCCAAACCCGUCAACUCCGACAAAUUGUCAACCAAAUAUCUCGUUUUCGCUCUAUCUGGUUUCCUAGCUGUUGUUUUCGUCACCCUGUCCAUGGUUCAUGUCUAUCAUAGGAAGAAUCACAAUCAGGAGCAUACAGCUUGGAAAUUUACUCCAUACCAUAAACUAGAUCUCGAUGAAUACAACAUAUUGUCCAGUUUGACAGAAAAUAAUCUGAUCGGAUGUGGUGGGUCAGGGAAAGUAUACCGAGUUGCUAAUAACCGUUCUGGUGAACUCUUAGCGGUUAAAAUGAUUUGUAAUAAUAGGAGAUUGGAUCAAAAGCUUCAGAAACAAUUCGAAACAGAAGUCAAGAUAUUGAGCACCAUACGCCAUGCCAAUAUAGUGAAGUUGUUGUGCUGCAUAUCAAAUGAAACCUCAAGUCUUCUUGUUUACGAGUACAUGCAGAAGCAGAGUUUGGAUAGAUGGCUUCAUGGGAAGAAGCAGAGAACAUCGUCCAUGACAAGUUCAGUUCAUAACUUUGUCUUGGAUUGGCCAACAAGGUUGCAGAUUGCUAUCGGAGCUGCAAAAGGCCUAUGCCACAUGCAUGAAAACUGCUCUGCCCCGAUCAUACAUCGAGAUGUGAAGUCCAGCAACAUCUUGCUAGAUGCCGAGUUCAACGCGAAAAUUGCAGAUUUUGGAUUGGCCAAGAUGUUGGUCAAGCAAGGAGAGCCAGACACCAUGUCAGGAAUUGCAGGCUCUUACGGAUAUAUUGCCCCUGGUAAGACCAUCAAGGCCCUCCUUUCCAAAUGUUUUCAUUUCCAUAAUUUAUCGAUAAGUUGUAUCAUACCAUUCUUGUAUACUUGGAUGAUAGAGUAUGCUUAUACAACAAAGGUGAACAAGAAGAUCGAUGUAUAUAGCUUUGGAGUAGUCUUGCUUGAGCUUGUGACGGGGAGAGAACCCAACAAUGGGGACGAGCACGUGUGCCUUGCAGAAUGGGCAUGGGAUCAGUUCAGAGAAGAGAAAACCAUUGAGGAAGUGAUGGAUGAGGAGAUCAAGGAAGAAUGUGAUAGAGCACAAGUGGCCACUCUCUUCAAACUAGGCAUUAGGUGCACUAACAAAUUACCAUCCAAUAGGCCCACAAUGAAAGGGGUUUUGAAAAUUCUUCAACAGUGCAGUCCUCAAGAGGGCCAUGGAAGAAAUAAAAAGGACCAUGAAGUUGCACCUCCACUUCGAAAUGACACUUACCCCACCACUUACAAGUUGUGAGGAUAAAGCCCUUAAAAACAUGAUAUGAUGUAAUAAAUUUGGAAGUCAUUAUUUAUUUAAUGAUGUUCCGAUUUCACUUUUAUCUAUCCUUAUUCCAUAUAUUAUACUUUAUGAGCAUUCUUGCCUGCAUCUUUUGCAUUGCACGUAACUUAGGUGCAUUAAGAGUUGCACAGAAGAUCUAGGUCAUGGGUUCCUUGCAAAUAUAUGACUUGUUCACAACCAGUUCAUGGGUCUAGGAAGCCCAUUAGGGGUUGUAAUAAUCCACUUCCUAAUUGGAAGAAUGGCUAGUCUUAGCUAUUGGGAUGAGUUUCCCAUGGUAAGUGCAUUAGUGUGUAUGAUUACAUAUUGGACAUGACCUAUGGUGAAUCAUGAAUUAAGGUUAUCAAGCAGUCAUGACCUCAUCAAACUACUUCAUUAUAUUGUCUCUCAACCUUGAGAGAAUAUCGAGCUCGUACUAAAGUUAGCAAUGACUUUGACAUACGAGUGAGAUCGUAAGUUGAUCAUAUAUUCCCUAUGGAUUGAGUCAUUGUUGAUGGAAAAUGGUAGCAAUAGGUAUUUUCAAUAAAAACACCAUGAUGUCUCUUGGGAUUAAGACAAUGUGCCCCUUUUGGUGAUCCUAAAGAGGUGUGUUUAUGGAAACUAUGGUCAUAGUAGUUCCUUAAGUAAAACUCGACAUAGGCUCUUUGAGAGCUAAGACAUGUCAAUUGAAUACACAAUAGAAGGAUUUAUAACUCAAGGAUGGUAGAGGUAGUCUUGAAAGACUAAUAACUUUUACUUUGUUAGACUAUGAAUAUCAGUUCAUGGGAAGACUAAACACAAUAAAUAGCAAGUCACAAACCUGAACAUUUGGUAUCUCAUUGUUAUUUUCAAUAAAAUAACAAUGAGAUGGUAAGUUGAUCAUAUAUACCCUAUGGAUUGGGUUAUUGUUGAUGGAAGAUGGUAGCAAUAGGUAUUUUCAAUAAGCACCAUAAUAUCUCUUGGGAUUAAGAUAGUGUGCCCCCUUGGGUAAUCUUAAAAAGUGUGUUCAUGGAAACUAUGGUCAUAGUAAUUCAUUAAGUAAAACUCAACAUAGGCUCUUUGAGAGCUAAGACAUGUCAAUUGAAUACACAAUGGAGGAUUUAUAACUCAAGGAUGAUAGAGGUAGCCUUGAAAGACUAAUAACUUUCACUUUGUUAGACUACGAACAUCAGUUCAUGGGGAGACUAAACACAAUAAAUAGCAAGUCACAAGCUCGAGCAUUUGGUAUCUCGUUGUUAUUUACAUAAGAUACGGGAGUUCAAUUGAUUCUCUGUAGUGGGAUGUUGAAUCAACUUUAGAAUUGGAUUUUGAGAGAGUCGGUAUUCUUAUGGGUUCCAAUGGUCCUUGCUCUAAGCUUAUAUACUUUGUUGGCAUGGGUUAUAAGAGUCGGAUUGACUCUAGGUUCACUUUUGUACAUAAAGGCAUUUUGAUAAUUACACAAGGUUACACAAAGGUAAGUGAACAAGGUUUUUAAAUUGGGUUAAUUGAUUAAUUAGUAGGCCUUGUUUAGUUAAUUAAUCAAUUAGGACUUUUUUUGGGCUAUAUUAAGUGACCUAAGCCCUUAGUGGGCUCAAGUCACUUAAACCUAAUAGAAAACCCUUUAAAUACCCCCUUAAGGGUUAGAGUUUAUAUAGUUUUUCUAAAGAGCCAUCUUCUAUCUCUAGAGAGAAAGAGAAAGAGUCAUAGCGUCCACCCUCCCUUCUAUCUCCACUAAAAGUGUGUCAAGAUCAAGGUUCAAGUCAUUGGGAGGAAGACUUUGGAUUUACGAGACUUCUGUGAUUUCGUUCUUCAUUUUCACCACGUGGAUUUGAUUUGAGAACAUACGAAUUUGAGGUAUGGUUUUCAUUAGCACUUUCUGAAUCCCUUUAAAGUUUAAAAAUGUUAUUUUUCCGUUGUGUAUAGGAUUAAUUUAGAAAAUGCUUAGAAUAGUUAUGCAUGUUCGUAACCUGAUCUGAGCUUAGGAAAUGGAGAGAUCCUAGUUUUUUCCCUCAAUGUUUGUGCUCCAAAGUGUUGAGAUAGUUUAGAGGGUGACAUGAUGAUUAACAUAAUACCUUAUAUGGAGAACCUAGUGAAUCCCUUCUCCAAGACAUUGAUAGGGAGAGUCUUUGCUAGUCACAUGGAUAGCAUAGGUUUCAGAUGAGUAUUUGGCAUGCUUUAAAGGCAUGAUACUUUGAGGGCUAAUAGGAGAAUGUUAGGAUAAAGCCCUUAAAAACAUGACAUGAUGUAAUAAAUUUGGAAUUCAUUAUUUAUUUAAUGAUGUUUUAGUUUCACUUUUAUCAAUCCUUAUUCCAUGUAUUAUACUUUAUGAGCAUUCUUGUCUGCAUUUUGUGCAUUGUACAUGACUUAAUUGCAUUAGGAGUUAUAUAGAAGAUCUAAGUCAUGGGUUUCUUGCAAAUAAAUGACUUGUUCACAACUGAUUCAUGGGUCUAGGCAACCCACUAGAGGUUAUAGUGCACCAUACCACCUUCUAAUUGGAGGGAUGACUAGUCUUAAUUAUCAGGAUGAGUUUCCCAUUGUGAGUGCAUUACUGUGUAUGGUUACACAUUAGACAAAACCUACAGUGAGUCAUGGCUUAAGGCUAUCAAGUAGUCAUGUCCUUACCAACCAACUUCAUUAUGUCGUCUCUCAACUUUAAGAUAAUAUUGAGUUUAUACUAAAGUUAGCAAUGGCUUUGACCUACAGGUGAAAUCAUAAGCUAAUCAUUUGGGUCAUUGUUGAUGGAAGUCGGUAGCAAUAGGUAUUCUCAAUAGAAAUACCAUGAUAUCUCAUGGGAUUUAGACAGUGUGUCCCCUUGAGUAAUCUUAAGAAAGUGUGUUCAUACAAACUAUGACCAUAGUAGUUCCUUAAGUGGAACUUGACAUAGACUCUUUGACAACUAAGACAUGUCAAUUAAAUAUAUAAUUGGACGAUCUGUAACUCAAAGAUAGUAGAGGUAAUCUUUAAGGAUUGAUAACUUUCACUUUAUUAGACUACAGACACUAAUUCAUGGGGAGACUAAACAUAAUGGAUAGCAGGUCAUGGACCCGAGUACGUAAUAUCUCGUUGUUAUUUACAUAGGAUAUUGGAGUUCAAUUGAUUCUCUAUGGUGGAAUGUUGAAUCAACUUUAGAAUUGGAUUUUGAGGAAGUCAGUACUCCUAUGGGUCCCAAUAGUCCACACUCUAAGCUCAUAUAACCUAUUGACACGGAUUAUGAGGGUCGGAUUGGCUUUAGGUUCAUUUUUGUGUAUAAGGGCAUUUUGAUAAUUACACAAGGUUGCAUAAGGGUAAGUGGACAAGGUCUCUAAAUUGAACUAAUUGAUUAAUUAAUAGGCCUUAUUGGGUUAAUUAAUCAAUUAGGACCCAUUUUGAGUUAGAUUAAGUGACCCAAGCCCAUGUGGGCUCAAGUCACUUAAGCAUACUUAGGAACCCUAUAUAUACCCCCUAAGGUUUAGGGUUCCCACAACUUUUGUCCUCCACCUGUUAGGAUAGAGCCCUUAAAAGUAUAACAUGAUGUAAUAAAUUUGGGAUUCUUUAUUUAUUUAAUGAUGUUCUAGUUUCACAUUAUUUAUUUAAUGUGAAGACAUUUGGAACCCAUCUCUCCUUCACAGAUUUAUCCAAAAGUUGCAUGCUCUGACUCAAGUUUCCAUGCAUACACAACCCUCUGAAGUGAUCAUCAACUCCAUUACCUUAGUAGUUUUUUCCAUGUCAAGCAUACAGUUAGUUUUGAGAGCGAGACCCAUUUUCACUAUGAACUCAAUGACUGUGCUUCGAUCAACUAGUUUGGCAUUUUCAUUUCUUUAUGGCAACCAAAUUUGGACUAGAUCUAACACUUGGCAGGCCAAAGGGCAUGAAUCAAAAACAGAGGAAAGCGACGGAAAAAAAAAAAAAAAACAAAGCACAAAUGGUUGAAACAAAACGAACUAAUAAAAGCCACAUUUUAUGUUUCAAUCAACCGACUUAGAUGUAGGUGAGUGAAACUAAAAAGAUUUUAAACAAGAACACAAGUAUUAUUCAGACAUUCUAUAGGAAAGCUACAACAGAGAUAAAUCAUGCUCAAACAUAACCAAAGGAAAUGAGGCAUGAAUCAACUAUAACCAAAUCACAGAAACCAAGAGAUUAACAAUAACAAGUGUGUGUCCUACGAUUAUCCAGACCCAAAACAUGGAAAAUUUUAGAAUCUAAUUGAUAAAUGAAAGAAAAAAAUGGAAAAAAUGGAGAUGAAGAAAAUUAAAUACACAAUUUAAAGGACUGAGAACCUGACCUGAACUCUUCUCUAAGAUUUAGCAAUUUAUGAAUGUAUCUUCAGGCCCCUGUAGACGAAUCCAUGCUUGGUGGUAGUAUGCUUAUUGAUGACAGUCUGGAGAUGUGGAAAUCAAAUGAUUCUGAUGAACUAAAUUUGAUGCGUGAUGAGAUAGAUGACGUGUUAUCUAAGGAUCACAAAGUUCAUCAAUAGAAACUCGUUUGAUGAUGCGUCAAUCUGAUGGAGAGAAUUCGUUGAUAAAAAAUGAUGAAAUGCCAAUUUGAAGAUAGUGACUGCGAUUCAUCUCCGGAGAUGAAUCUAAUGAGAACGUUCAGGAGUCAUAAAUGGAGAGUGUAGGGACCCCUCCCCUUGGGAAACACGUGGCACGCAGCUCAUAGUGACGCGUGGCACGUGUUAUCAGCCGGACCGUCAUUAUCCGGAUUCCCCUAAGGAUAUGCAUGGUGCAGAUAUCCUAUCCGGACCGCCUCAAGGAAAGGCAAACGACGUUUCAUCUUCUCCUAUCCAAGGAAGAGCAAACGACGUUGGCAGAGCGUACACAUCCGGAUAGUCUCCACAACACAUCCGGAUAGUCAACAUGAGCCAUCCGGAUAUAAAUCUUCUGGAUGGUCAAUUAAAGUAAAGCGAGUCUUACACGCAAUCACAACAAGCAGCCAUGGCCCACAUCCCAUCACCUGCAGAAUGAGAAGACAAGAGGAAGUGACAGCAAGUCACUUCCCACGAUCAUUCUGCAUAAUCGCUUCCCACGAUCUCUGACGGCCGCAUCACCUACCAUAGUCUCUGACAGCCAUUCAUAGGAUGAUAGUGCUCCUACUAACACCUAUUGUCAUCAUCACAACAGAAAAGAUCUCCUCACCAUUAAUGAGAGGAACAGUACCCCUGAAGCUGGAUAUAUAUACCUUCGCACGAAGAAGAAAGGGGAUCUCCUGGUAAUCUCUUGAUACCUAGAAAAAGGCCAACUGAUUUAUAUAUCUCUUUCUCACCAUGGCUAACAAAACCAUCGGAGGGUGCGUCCGGACACCCUGUCCGAAUGCCUUUUGCAGGUGCAACCACUGAAUCAAGAACCCCUUGUGUGUUGAGAAUCACGUAUCCAUCCAUAUAGCAGCAACGUGGACCAUCGGAUACGCGAGGUGACAACAGAGAGCUCUAAUGGCGGUGGUGAUUUGCAGCAAUGUCAAUCUCUGGUGGCAGUGACAGCAAGCUCUAAUGGUGGUAAACUACGCCAACAGAGACAAUCUCCAUGAAUUGCACAACAAACUUCAAUGGCGAUCUCCAAUGGUGGUGAUGAAUUCUCCUACAACAAUGAACUCUCAUUCUCCUGUAGAGAUGAACUCUCAGAUGUUGGUGAAUUAUUUUUAUAUAUUUUUUUAAUAAAUUUUAAAUGAAAUAAAAUAAAUAAAUUUUAAAUUUUUAUACAUUUUUUUAAACUCAUUUAACUUAUUUUAAUUUUUCAAUUAUAAAAUUAAAUAAUUUGAAAAUAUAUAAAUUUCUAACUAAUUUUAAUUAUAUUUUAUUUUCUUUUAUAAUUUUCAUAUAUAGUAUAACCAGUACCAAUGUUUUCAAAAUCAGACCGGCGCUUGAACCAGAAAAGUUACCAGUUCAUGAUUUACGGUUCAUUAGUUGAACUGGUGGUCAAACCGCGGUCGAAUCAAUGACAUCAUAAAUAAUAAUUUUUUUUCUUUUUUCUCACUAACUAAUCCCACAUCAGAAAUGGAUAAAAAAUAUGUAGGAAUUGUGGUAUAAAAGGCAAGCUAGAAUCAUUAACUUGCAAGACUAAAAGCUUAUUGGGCUUGAUGACAAACGGGUUGGAUGGGCUCCUCAUGGAAUGAUCCGGUUCUCUUAUGGUAUCAAAACUUUUUUUUUUGGCUUUAAAAUAAAUAAAUAAAUAAACUGUUCGGUUCGCUAAGAAUCGCCCGAUUGGGGCAGUUCACUAGUUCAACCGCUGGUUUUGUUACCGAUCGGACCAACUGGUCCAGUCCGAUUUUUAAAUCAUUAUCAAAUACAAUAAAAUAAUUUUCCUUAACAUUUCUUUUAUUUUUUUAAGUACUUCUCAAGAAUCAAACAUAAUCAUAAGACUAAUCAUAUUUUUUAUUAUAAGAUCAUUCGAAUACAAUGCCCCAAGUGAGAAUCUCAAAACGUUUGUCAAUGUUUUACUAAUAUUAAGAUUUUGAAAAUCUAUACAAUUUCUUUUUCUUUUUUUCUUUUUUUAAUAUUUGGAUGAUAGAGCAUGAGUAUACAAGAAAGGUCAAUGCAAAGAUCAAUGUCUACAAUCUUGAAAUUGCACUUCUAGAGUUGGGCCCUAAAAGAGAACCCAAUAGGGGGGAGGGGUAGCAUAUAAACCUUCCUCAAUGGGCAUGGCAACACCUUGGAGAAGGAAAGUUAUAAGUGAAAGCACUGGAUGAGGAGAUCAUGGCACAAUGCUACUUCAAAAAAAUGAGUACUAUGUUCCCAAUAAUCAAACUUUAUCAUGAAAAUGUUGAUAAUAGCGAGGAUUAUCUUAUUUACAAGUAUAGAGACAAAUAGGCAAAAGGUAAAUAAAUUAUUAAUAGAGCUUAAAAUAAUAAAUUAAGCAAAUAAACAUAUGGUAAGAUCGAAACUCAUUAUCCUUCUACUAAAUAAAAUUCUAAUACCAUAUUGGAUAACUAAAUUUUUUAAGAACUUAAACUUAAGAUUUGGAUCCUUAUGAUUGUAUAUCACAUUUUCUAAUAAUAUAUCAAAUACUUUUCUAGAUUUUGUGUUGACUUGUGAUUACUUCUCUAAAUCAAUUUUUCAGCAUCUUGUAUAUAUGUAUUUGUUAGGAUGAAUCUGUCACGCCCCAAGACCCACUCCAAGGGCGUGACGGUCAUUUCACACCUCAAACCCGAAGGCUUAAAGUAUAAUCUGACCCAAACAAUCAUAUUGUAACUGGAUGUUACCAAUUACCAAAUACCUGUUCAGAGUAGCGGAACAAAAUCUAAAAUCCUCAAAAUUCAAUUUCCAAAUAACUUCCAAAUAUCAAAUGAUCCAAAUGAACAUAACUAACAGUUAAACAAAAUCCAACAUAAAAUCCUAAGUCAAAUCCUAAUGAUGACCAUUCCUCAGCCUAGCCAUCACUCCUCACCCGAACUAAGAGUACCUGAAAAAUUUUCAACAAUUGGGAAUGAGCUCACAGCCCAAUAAGGAAUAUUAAUGCAAUUCAUGGAUCAAAUAUUUUCAUUUCAAAUAGGAGAUAUCAAUUUUUUUUUUUCUCAUCGAAUAUCAGAGUUUCAAAAAUACCAAUAUAUUCAAAAUUCAACCAACCAAUUUCAUAUCAAAUUCAAACACUUUCACAUCAGACUCAAUCAAAUCCAUUCAAUUUUUUCAUUACUCUGGUUAUCAAAUAUCAAAUGCCCAGUUAGGUGGGACUUUUCAAAUGGGUGGCUAGCCUCAAAUUGUUCCUGGUGGACGAAACCAAACACUACUAGUACUAGUAACCUCUAACCAAACCCCUAGAGGCUGGGGUCCAAAUCAAUUACAUUCCCACCAUGAAAUGUAAAGGUCAACUAUUAUAGCCCGUUGACAGGGCCGAAUAGUCAACUAUUAUAUCCCGUUGACAAGGGCCAAACAAACCAGAGUGAUGUUUUUGUUCAAGUAUUCAAAUUUACACAACAUAAUAUCUCCAUAUUUUGUGUCAUAAAUAAAACAAAAUAUUCCAACAUAAUAUUCAGUGCAAAACAAUUUGAUCCAUGCAUGGUAACAAAAUAUCAUUUUCUUUUCCACAAUUCAAAAUAACAUAUAAAAUAAUUUAAUUUUAUAAAUAUUGCAUUAACUUCCCUUACCUCAAAAGAAGUCCUUGAAAGCUUGGGAGAAGAAUAAUUCUGAAAAAAAUAUAAUCUACUCUUCACCUAAUAUAACAUAAGAGAAACAAUUAUUACUAUUUAUUUAUAAUUUAACUAAUUUAUUCCUUAUUUAAAUAAAACUAAUAAAUUCCCAAUUUGUUUCUAAUAACACACUACUAAUUUAAUUAAAUUACAAUUUUAUUUCAUUAUAAAAUUCUAUAUAUAUAUAUAUAUAUAUAUAUAUAUAUAUAUAUAUAUAUAUAUAUAUAUUGCUAAAUCUAUUAUUACUAUUAUCUUAAUUAUUAAUCUGAAACUAAAUAUCAUUAUUUUAUUAAUUACCUAAUUUGAGGCUAAAUCAUUAUUACAAAAAAUAUAUUAUUAUAUAUUUUGCUAAAUCUCUUACAUGUAUGGGGUACACACCAAACAAGUAAAACAAAGCAAAAAAAUUUUUUUUUUCCAUUGCCAUCAUCAUAAUAAUGAAUCAUUAUAUAUAUAUAUAUAAGUCUCCUUCCAUCCGGGCACACGCCCAAAUUUUUUUUUUUUUUAUUUUCCUUCCUUCCAAUGCUGUGCACACGCGUUCUCCUUUUUUUUUUUUUUUUAAUUAACCCUAACCUAAAAUUGAAAUAUUCCAAGGAAUUUUUUUUUUCUAAUAAAACUUAAGAUCUCCCAAAUUCCAAUACUAAAAUCAAAAUAUUAAAUUUUCACUAUUUGAUAUUAAAACGAAUUAAAAAAAAUAAUCUAACCCUAAUCUAGAUUUGGGGUUUUCCAAAAAAAAUAUAUCUAAUGUGUUUGAAAUUAAUCAAUGAAUCUAAAAUAUUAAACUAGGGGUUAGAAUCUUACCUAUAGAGAUUUUUUCUUCAACCCUGAAAUCUGACUCCAACCUUACGUUUUCUGAAAUUCUGCGAAUAGGAACUCUAUUCAGAAAAGAAGGGAAAAAAUAAAAUUUCUAAUUUAUACCUAGGGUAUUUAUUCGUAAAAUUACACUUUUACCCCUCUUCCACUUUAUUAAAUUAAUUAAUUAACUAAUUAAAUUAUUAAUAACAAUUUCCUAAAUUACCCUUAAAAGAAAAUGCCUGGGCGUUACAGAAUCAAUUAUCAAUGAAUGCAAAAAUGCAACUCCUCAUAGAGUCUCUUGCUUAUUUCCUCUACAACUUAAUUAGAAAAACUUAAAAGAACUCCAGAGUGAUUUCACAAAGAAAUAGGAUAAUUAUUUUAUCUUCAAACCUGCAAAAAAGAUAUGGAAACCGUAUCAUUGAAAUAAUUAAAACAGAAAACAAUUGGAAUCAAAGUGCUAUUGCCUUAUUUUAAAAACAAAAAAUAAAUAAAAUAAAUCUUAGGUUUUAUGCAAAACUAAAUAUUAGUUGCCUAAAGCUCCUUAUUUGGAAUACUAGAUGGGUGUCAAGCAUCAUUUCAACUCGGCACCUCCUUCGGUAAAUACCAAAAAUAAUAUUUGUUUUGGGAACAAGACUAGAGUUUUGAGCGGAUAUAAUAUAUUUUAAAAAAAUACACAAAAUAGAUUUCCAAGUAAAAUAAUUCUCAAGCUAGUAUAUUUCAGCUACAUGGGCAUCCAUAUGGUCGUAGAUUUUUUUUUUUUUAAUGUUGGUCUAUGUCAUAAAACUUUAAUUAGUAACUACGAUUUUGAUUUUUUAAAACAUAAAAUGAUAGUUAGAUAUUAUAGUUUUAAAUUUAUUUUUAAAAUCAUAAUCAUCAAUUACGAUUAUAAACUUAAAUUUAAAACCUUAGUUGGUAACUAAUGUUUUGACCGUUUUACAACAAAAUCAAAAUUAUAGUUCACAACUAUGAUCAUGUGAUAUAGAUACAAGUGUCAAUAAAACACUCCAAUUUGAAAAUUAUUUUGAGAGGGGAUCUACUUUGUAGAUUUUUAUUUGUUCAAAUAAAUUAUUUUUCCUCAAGGCUUAGAAAACUAACUUGUUUAGAACUAAAUUCAAUUAUACACUCUCCUAAUUUUUCUUUUUAUAAGAUCAAAUCCACGUUAUCAGUUUUCCACUAGAAUCCUCAUGAUUACUUGUAGAAUUGUUGAGAUGAAAUGGAAGUGUGGUAUGAGAUGCAUGCUUGUUUAAACUUCAGUUUCAAUCUUGGUCAAUGCUGUCCAUUCCCUUAGAUGUGCAGGAUGUGGAACCACUGCUGGAUCCUGUUGUGAGACUUGACCAUCAAUAUCCUUUUGGACUUGUGAAAGCAACCUUCCCCCGUUUUCUUGACGCAACCUGCUACUUCCACGUGAGCAUGCCAAACACGCUUAGGGCCUGUUUGUUGGUGUUUUCAAAUACAUUUUUGGAAACAGUUUUUACUGUUUUCAGAAAUAAAAUUAUGUUUAUUUAUUCUCAAAAAUAAAAAGAAUAAAAAAAAAAUAUUUAGUUCAGUUAAUAAAAAUAAUUUUUAAUAACAAAUAAAACAAAAAAACUUGUUUGGAAAAUAUUAUUGUUGGUUUUGUUUUUUAAAGUUGAGUAUUUUAUUUAACUAAUUGAUAUUGUAAAUAUAUAAAUAAUUUUUCUUCGUAAAAAUAAAAAUGUUCCAUUCUAAACAUUUUUUGCAUCGGUUUUAAUUUUUUUAAACAAAUUAUUACUUUGUAAACAUGUCUAAAUAUGUUUGAUUUCAAUAAUUGAUAAACCAUCUUAUCAAAAUAUCAUAAAUCGGUAAAUAUCAAUAAUUGGAUUUUAUGAAGAUAAAAUUUAUGAUAUCAAAUAAUAAUGCAUUAUACUUGGAAACCGAUGAUUUAUCUUUUCUACUAAUAAUAUAUUUAUGAUAAUUUUUUAUUUAAAAAUAUUUAUAAUUUUAUUUUAUAUUUAAGAAUUAUAUAAAAGAUAAAAAAAUUAAAGUAAAUCAAACUAAUUUAUUUAUAAAAAAUUAUUAAUUUUUAUAAAUUUACAUAUUAUAUAUAUAUAUAUAUAUAUAUAUACGACAGGAAUCCUUGUACUCUUUUCUCUCAUUCUCCUUAUGUUCUCCGUUUAUCUUCCAAGGCCCAAACUUUUAUUCACUAAGGUUGAACCAUUUCUCUCCUCAAAUAUUAACUCACUAAAGUCAAAAUUUAGAUCUAUGAUUGUUGUUAAGAUUCUUGGUUAGGAUUUCAUCUUUUGUGUUAUUGUUUAUGUUUUUGUUUGGUUUUUGAGAAAUCCUAGAAUUUAUGAAAGUUUCUGCUUUGAAAUACAUUAAAAAAAAUCAUAUCAGGAUAAAAUCCCAAAAUAUCCGAAAAAUAUUGAAAUGGAAAUGAAGAAAAAAUAAAUAUAAAUAAAACUUGUUGAUUAAGUUGAAUUUUUUUUAAACCGAAUUUUCAAUUUUCUAAUUUUUCUCAUUUUCCUUGGCAGUGUAAAAAAAAAAAAAAGAUAAGAGCACAUAGAGAACACGACAACAACACAAAAAACAUCAUUUUAAAACCAGGUUUUAGAAAACACAUAAAACACUUGAGAACAAAAAACACUCUUUUAUAAAACAUGAUUUUUGUGUUUUUUGUUCUAAAAAAAGAAAACAAUUUUUGGAAAUACCAACCAAACAAGCCCUUAAUGACUCAUUUUUCUUUUAUUUAUUUAUUUUAUUUUUUUGCUUAUUUGUUUAUUCUCUUGUCUGUUUUUAUUUUUAAAGAAAUAAAAAUAUUUUUCAAAAAAAUAAAAAAAAUAAAAUUAAAGAAUGUUCUCCAAACUAAAUGAAUAUUAUAGAACCCGACCAACAACAUACUAAACAAAAUGUAAAAAUCUAAAAAUAUGUUUGGUAGUAAUUGUUUUUAAUAUUUUUAAUACCUAAAAAUGAAAAAAUUUAGUGUUAAAAAAUGAAAAAUAUUUUAUAAAAUCACUGUAAAACUUAUUCUAAAUUAUUGAACUAAAUACGAAAAUAACAUAUCAUGCACGAAAAUAAGAUGAAGCAAAAAUAACUUGUAAUGUACACCUUGGGAAACACAUGAUAUUUUAGCAUCGUGUAGCAGAUUGCAAAAUCAAAUUUCGUGAGGAAUCAGGUGCCCAUAAAUCUCGUAUCUUCAUAAUGGCAUAUAGAGGAAAGUCAAGGUAAACGAAACCAUCAUAUUCUUCAACUUGCAGCCAACCAAAUAUGUUCAAGUCCAUUCAAUACAGUCCAUAAAAAUUUUAUUUUAUUUUUACAAAUUUUUUUUUCUUUCUAGAAUUCGAAUCUGAGCCUCACGACUAAAACCGAAUACGUACAAAGCAUCUAUUCUAAAAAUAAAAAAAUUAAAUUGAAUUAAAAAUUUUGGAUAUUAUAAAGCAGAAUACGUACAAAUUCUGUUGAAAGGUGAGUCAUAACAGUUAAAAAUUUAUAUAUAAUUUUUAUAUAUAUUUUAAUUAGUUUUCAAUUUUGGAUAUUAUCAAAUAAAAUUUUUAUGUAUAAUUUACUUUAGUCAGUAUUGUCCAACAUAAUUAAAUAAUACCAUGGUGGCUUAGGUUAAUUCCAAAAUGAUGGUAAUGGACUAAUGACAGAAAAAUUAUCAUACAAAAUACCUAGGCAACCAUAGGUGAAAAAAAAAGUAAUAUAAAUUCCAUAUAUUAUUAUUUAAUAUUAAUUUUCAGUCACCAUCAUAUGAUUUUUCAUAAAAUAAAAUAAAAAGGUAAAAAGUAAAUGUUCAUUAUGUUUGUUAGUAUAGUAUCAAAAGAAACUUAUUAAAUUUUUAGAAAUAUAAUUUAGAUUUAAAAGUAAUUGUAAAAAUUUGAAAAUAAGACUUAUAUUAUGAAAACAUUAAAAAAUAUUAUAAUUUAACCACAAAGAUAAUGAGUAUGACUAAGAUCGACGAUUAGGAAAAGAGAUUUUAUAAAAAAAAAAAUAUAUAUUUUGAAGUAUCUUACAUGGAUCAUUGAUUUUUAUUCAAAUUUUAAACAAAUUCAUACUAAUUUGGUUCUGGUUCUACUUGUUUCUGGUUCAAAAUGAGUUCAACGACACCUGGCCAACGGAGAUUGGUAAUUUGGCGAAUCUUGAACAAUUGGCCAUGGCCUAUAAUGACAAAUUCCGGCCUUCAGCCCUUCCAAAAGAGUUUGGCGCAUUGAAGAAGCUGAAAUAUCUGUGGAUGACGGAGGCGAAUUUGAUUGGCGAAAUACCGGAGAGCUUCAACAAUCUAUCGAGUCUGGAACUCUUGGACCUCUCAGUCAACAAAUUGGAAGGUACGAUCCCGGGAGGCAUGCUUACGUUGAAGAAUUUGAACUAUUUGCAUUUAUUCAUUAAUAGAUUGUCCGGCUACAUUCCUUCAUCCAUAGAAGCUCUCAACUUGAAACAAAUUGAUCUUUCCGACAACCAUUUGACGGGGUCCAUACCAGCGGGUUUCGGGAAGCUACAAAAUUUGACGGGUUUGAAUCUUUUCUGGAAUCAGUUGUCAGGAGAGAUACCAGCAAAUAUAAGCCUCAUUCCUACACUGGAAACCUUCAAAGUUUUUAGCAAUCAAUUGAGUGGAGUUUUGCCCCCAGCAUUUGGCCUUCAUUCGGAGCUCAAAUUCUUUGAGAUUUUUGAGAAUAAACUAAGUGGGGAAUUACCUCAACAUUUAUGCGCUAGGGGGGCUUUGCUUGGAGUGGUCGCUUCCAACAACAAUCUCAGCGGGGAAGUGCCC